This 491-nucleotide ribosomal RNA is filed under the name uncultured bacterium. Its description in RNAcentral is "partial 16S ribosomal RNA". It matches the Rfam family "Bacterial small subunit ribosomal RNA", at positions 29 to 506 of the family's 1533-position model. The record is from RNAcentral.
AGUGAACGCUGGCGGUAGGCCUAACACAUGCAAGUCGAACGGCAGCACAGUAAGAGCUUGCUCUUACGGGUGGCGAGUGGCGGACGGGUGAGGAAUACAUCGGAAUCUACUUUUUCGUGGGGGAUAACGUAGGGAAACUUACGCUAAUACCGCAUACGACCUACGGGUGAAAGCAGGGGAUCUUCGGACCUUGCGCGAUUGAAUGAGCCGAUGUCGGAUUAGCUAGUUGGCGGGGUAAAGGCCCACCAAGGCGACGAUCCGUAGCUGGUCUGAGAGGAUGAUCAGCCACACUGGAACUGAGACACGGUCCAGACUCCUAGGGGGGGCAGCAGGGGGGAAUAUUGGAAAAGGGGGGCAAGCCUGAUCCAGCCAUCCCGGGGGGGGGAAGAAGGCCUUCGGGUUGAAAAGCCUUUUUGUUGGGAAAAAAAAGCAGCAGGUUAAUACCCCGCUGUUCUGACGGUACCAAAAGAAUAAGCACCGGCUAACUUCGU